Molecule: ribosomal RNA, 253 nt
Filed under: uncultured bacterium
Lineage: Bacteria
Description: partial 16S ribosomal RNA
Rfam family: Bacterial small subunit ribosomal RNA
Source: RNAcentral
UACGGAGGGUGCAAGCGUUAUCCGGAUUCACUGGGUUUAAAGGGUGCGUAGGUGGGUCUGUAAGUCCGUGGUGAAAUCUCUAGGCUUAACCUGGAAACUGCCAUGGAUACUACAGGUCUUGAAUACUGUGGAGGUCAGCGGAAUAUGUCAUGUAGCGGUGAAAUGCUUAGAUAUGACAUAGAACACCAAUUGCGAAGGCAGCUGGCUACACAAAUAUUGACACUGAGGCACGAAAGCGUGGGGAUCAAACAGG